GAUGAAGAACGUAGCAAAAUGCGAUAAGUAAUGCGAAUUGCAGAAUUUCCGUGAGUCAUCGAAUCUUUGAACGCACAUUGCGCCCGGUAGUAUUCUGCCGGGCAUGCCUGUUCGAGCGUCAUUUCAACCAUCAAGCCCCAGCGCUUGUGUUGGGGGCCUGCGGCUGCCGCAGCCCCCUAAAAGCAGUGGCGGGCUCGCUAUCACACCGAGUGCAGUAGUUCAUCUUCUCUCCGGUCUUGUGAGGCGGGUUCCGGCCGUGAAACACCCCACUACAUUCAAGGUUGACCUCGGAUCAGGUAGGAAUACCCGCUGAACUUAAGCAUAUCAAUAAGCGGAGGA
This 339-nucleotide unclassified non-coding RNA is filed under the name soil metagenome. RNAcentral's name for it is "partial contains 5.8S ribosomal RNA, internal transcribed spacer 2, and large subunit ribosomal RNA". The stretch from base 1 to 121 matches the Rfam family "5.8S ribosomal RNA", at positions 35 to 154 of the family's 154-position model. The record is from RNAcentral.